ACCUGCAUGGCUCAGUGGUUGAGCGUUGACCUGUGAACCAGGAGGUCAUGGUUCAAUUCCAUGUCAGGGCA
Myotis lucifugus (little brown bat) is the source of this 71-nucleotide non-coding RNA. NCBI's taxonomy places the organism in Eukaryota, Metazoa, Chordata, Mammalia, Chiroptera, Vespertilionidae. The record is from Rfam.